GGUGCCAUAGUGUAGUGUUAGCACGUCUGCUUUACACACAGAAGGUCCUGGGUUCGCUCCCCAGUGGAGCCA
This 72-nucleotide transfer RNA is filed under the name Pteropus alecto (black flying fox). It matches the Rfam family "tRNA". Rfam says of the family: Transfer RNA (tRNA) molecules are approximately 80 nucleotides in length. Their secondary structure includes four short double-helical elements and three loops (D, anti-codon, and T loops). Further hydrogen bonds mediate the characteristic L-shaped molecular structure. tRNAs have two regions of fundamental functional importance: the anti-codon, which is responsible for specific mRNA codon recognition, and the 3' end, to which the tRNAs corresponding amino acid is attached (by aminoacyl-tRNA synthetases). tRNAs cope with the degeneracy of the genetic code in two manners: having more than one tRNA (with a specific anti-codon) for a particular amino acid; and 'wobble' base-pairing, i.e. permitting non-standard base-pairing at the 3rd anti-codon position. The record is from Rfam by way of RNAcentral. Lineage: Eukaryota; Metazoa; Chordata; Mammalia; Chiroptera; Pteropodidae.